CGUGGUUCAGAUGUGCUAUUAGCCAAAAAUUGACCAGGGUAUUCCAGGAAGGUUGGGGAUCAUCCCAAUAUGGUCCGUUUAAUUUCUCAUGGCUAUUUGGGUGGUGAAACAAGUGAUACGGUGCGAACUGAGUGUUUUCGAGCCAAAUCGAUGUGCUAUAGCCCACGAUUUCGUGGGUGGGCCUGGGGUCCGGGCAUGCUGUCGGUCAAAAAUUAACCAAGGC
This 223-nucleotide long non-coding RNA is filed under the name Capsicum annuum. RNAcentral's name for it is "long non-coding RNA (CANN_LNC018222)". The record is from RNAcentral. Lineage: Eukaryota; Viridiplantae; Streptophyta; Magnoliopsida; Solanales; Solanaceae.